RNAcentral lists this ribosomal RNA (429 nucleotides) under Gemmatimonadota bacterium. RNAcentral's name for it is "Gemmatimonadetes bacterium partial 16S ribosomal RNA". It matches the Rfam family "Bacterial small subunit ribosomal RNA", at positions 355 to 776 of the family's 1533-position model. Lineage: Bacteria; Pseudomonadati; Gemmatimonadota. The record is from RNAcentral.
UAGGGAAUCUUCGGCAAUGGACGAAAGUCUGACCGAGCAACGCCGCGUGAGUGAAGAAGGUUUUCGGAUCGUAAAACUCUGUUGUUAGAGAAGAACAAGGACGUUAGUAACUGAACGUCGCCUGACGGUAUCUAACCAGAAAGCCACGGCUAACUACGUGCCAGCAGCCGCGGUAAUACGUAGGUGGCAAGCGUUGUCCGGAUUUAUUGGGCGUAAAGCGAGCGCAGGCGGUUUCUUAAGUCUGAUGUGAAAGCCCCCGGCUCAACCGGGGAGGGUCAUUGGAAACUGGGAGGCUUGAGUGCAGAAGAGAAGAGUGGAAUUCCAUGUGUAGCGGUGAAAUGCGUAGAUAUAUGGAGGAACACCAGUGGCGAAGGCGGCUCUCUGGUCUGUAACUGACGCUGAGGCUCGAAAGCGUGGGGAGCAAACAGG